AUUGAACGCUAGCGGCAUGCUUUACACAUGCAAGUCGAACGGCAGCACGGGAGCUUGCUCCUGGUGGCGAGUGGCGAACGGGUGAGUAAUAUAUCGGAACGUGUCCUGGAGUGGGGGAUAACGCGUCAAAAGAUGUGCUAAUACCGCAUACGCUCUACGGAGGAAAGUGGGGGACCGCAAGGCUUCACGCUCAAGGAGCGGCCGAUAUCCGAUUAGCUUGUUGGUGGGGUAAAGGCCUACCAAGGCGACGAUCGGUAGCUGGUCUGAGAGGAUGAUCAGCCACACUGGGACUGAGACACGGCCCAGACUCCUACGGGAGGCAGCAGUGGGGAAUUUUGGACAAUGGGCGCAAGCCUGAUCCAGCCAUGCCGCGUGAGUGAAGAAGGCCUUCGGGUUGUAAAGCUCUUUCGGUGGGAACGAAACGGUCCGCGCCAAUACCGCGGACUACUGACGGUACUCACAGAAGAAGCACCGGCUAACUACGUGCCAGCAGCCGCGGUAAUACGUAGGGUGCAGGCGUUAAUCGGAAUUACUGGGCGUAAAGCGUGCGCAGGCGGUCUGUAAAGUCAGAUGUGAAAGCCCCGGGCUCAACCUGGGAAUUGCAUUUGAAACUGGCAGGCUAGAGUGUGGCAGAUGGGGGUGGAAUGCCACGUGUAGCAGUGAAAUGCGUAUAGAUGUGGAAGGAACACCGAAUGCGCGAAGGCAGCCCUCUUGGGCCCAACACUGACGCUCAGGCACGAAAGCGUGGGGAGCAAACAGGAUUAGAUCCCCUGGUAGUCCACGCCCUAAACUAUGUCAACUAGUUGUUGGGAGAGUUAAAUCUCUUAGUAACGCAGCUAACGCGUGAAGUUGACCGCCUGGGGAGUACGGCCGCAAGGUUAAAACUCAAAGGAAUUGACGGGGACCCGCACAAGCGGUGGAUUAUGUGGAUUAAUUCGAUGCAACGCGAAAAACCUUACCUACCCUUGACAUGUACGGAACGGGGCAGAGACGUCCCAGUGCCCGAAAGGGAACCGUAACACAGGUGCUGCAUGGCUGUCGUCAGCUCGUGUCGUGAGAUGUUGGGUUAAGUCCCGCAACGAGCGCAUCCCUUACCAUUAGUUGCUACAUUCAGUUGGGCACUCUAAUGGGACUCCCGGUGACAAACCGGAGGAAGGUGGGGAUGACGUCAAGUCCUCAUGGCCCUUAUGGGUAGGGCUUCACCCGUAAUCCAAUGGCCGGUACAGAGGGUUGCCAACCCGCGAGGGGGACCCAAUCCCAGAAAGCCGGUCGUAGUCCGGAUUGUUCUCUGCAACUCGAGAGCAUGAAGUCGGAAUCGCUAGUAAUCGCGGAUCAGCACGCCGCGGUGAAUACGUUCCCGGGUCUUGUACACACCGC
RNAcentral lists this ribosomal RNA (1377 nucleotides) under uncultured bacterium. RNAcentral's name for it is "bacterial SSU rRNA". It matches the Rfam family "Bacterial small subunit ribosomal RNA", at positions 28 to 1393 of the family's 1533-position model. The record is from RNAcentral.